Non-coding RNA from Rattus norvegicus (Norway rat), 2253 nucleotides. NCBI's taxonomy places the organism in Eukaryota, Metazoa, Chordata, Mammalia, Rodentia, Muridae. The record is from RefSeq and is a predicted model, not a curated record.
GCAGCCGGGACUGCCUUUUUUUUUUCCUCCCCCCCCCCUUUUCUACUUUCCCUCCCUCUUUGACAAAAUGUCCCAGACCUCACAUUCAUCAAACUCACAUUUGAUUUUUUACACUCUUCAGUGAGGCUGCCUCACACUGCUUCCUCCUGCCACCCUCCCUCUCUCUGCCACUCUGCAACUGGAGUUCCCAGGAAUGCUUGCCCUUGUUUUCCAUGGGACGGUAUUUGGUGUUUGUUUGGUUUUAUAUAUAUAUUAAAAAUAUUUUUAAGACUGUCAAAAGUUUUAAGGUGGAAUUCUGUAUUUUAGCUAUGGAUGGCUGCAGAUUAAAAAAAAAAAGCUGUUUGUCCUGCCCCUUGGGUUUUGUGUCCUGUGUCUAGCCUCACACCCUCUUCACUUUUGAUUUUGGAGAACUGUGGGGUGCAUGGUUCUCCUUGGCUGUGAAAUUUUUCUAGGGGUGCAUAACAAGCACUGGUGAAAAGCAAAUCCUGCCUGUGAGAAUCCUUUCAUGCCCCAGUCAUUGGAAUGCCUCAAGUCACCUGUGAGAGUACUCUAAGGCUCCAUUCCUCUUCUUCCUCAGGGGACCAUGGCUCUCACAUCUAACUUUUCCAUGUCUGUUUAUGUCGGAGCAGACCUUCCGUUUCUUAGAACCACCAACUUUGAGUGGAACAGACCCACACACCCUUUCUUUCCAUUACCCUGGGUACAAGAAAGUUUAAGGAACUCCUAACUUGUAGCUGCAGAAUGAGUUAACUCACAUGUCAUGGUCAACCAGGCCAGACAACCUUUGACUUCUGGGAUCUAUAAGAGCUGGAGUGAAGUGGGAGGAUGUACAAUAGCUCAUUGUCACAGGAAACGCUCGUCCUGUGAGGAAGAGAGUCCCAGAAUCAUUGCUGUCCUCGUUAGGGUGGUGUCCGUUAAGGAUUAAUUCGUUAGCACUGCAUUCCUAGUUUUCUGUAAUUAUUAUUCUUACAGCAAGCGUGAAUUCUUCCAGGGAGUGAAAAGAAAAGUUUGCUGCCAGGACAAUGAAUGUAUUAUCCGUUCCUAACUGGACCGUGAACUUCAGCUCAUUUCACAUAGAUAUCAGUUUAAGAAAAGGAGAGUGUGUGUGAUGUUGAAGGGGGAGCCUGGCGAAUGGAAUUACAAAACAGGGCAUGGUGGCACUGUACGAUCUACAGAAAAAGUACUCUCCCUUCCCGGACAAACGGUGCUGUCAUUUUGGCAAGACGUAGGAAUUCGGAAGACUGAGACUAUUAAAAGUGAACUACUGCAGGAUUCUAUUCGUCUGCUGCCUGGGAUUCAGUAUGUCCAUCCCAAGGACUUGAGUAAAAGUAGUUGUGGAAGCCAUCAUGUGCAAGUCUACUUCCACAAUGGCUGGCAGCUUCGUGUUCGUGGAAACCCCUUGCCUGUGUUUGCCUGAAUUCAUGUCGUGAGCCGAAUUUCCCAUUUCAACUUUUGAAUGCUAAUUGUCAACUGAACAACUUCUCCAAAUGCCCGUUUUCUGCACACCCUCGAAGAUAAUGCCUAAUGAAGAUUUUCCUAGGAAUUGGCACCAGCCCUUUCAACAUAAUGACUGAAAUAACUUAGAAAUUGCCAAAUAAAUGAAAAUAAUUGCAAUAAAUGAAAAGAUUCAAAACGAACAGAACCGGGUAAUAAUAAAGCACAAGACAGUCUCAGUACCUGGGCUAUUUUUAGGAAAGUCCAUGGCAAACCUAUUUAUAGACCUUGAAUUGGAUGCAUUUACAUGCUCUUUUAAAAUAUAUUUAUACAGCAAGUGGCUUGAUCUGAGCUAAUUAUCAAAUGAUCAGCUUUAAGUAUCAGCCACCCUUGUAAAUAUACGUAACCAUAUCAUGUCUAAGAAUAUCCACCAAUCUCAGAUGUUUCUAUGCCCUCCAAACAUUCCUUUUCUCUCAGUAAUAGAUUCUAAGAAAACUCCAAAUGAGGGAGGGUUGGGCUUUUUUCUUCCACAUACAUUAAGAAUGUAUCCUUAUCGUUUUCUCUGAGGUCAGCCCUGUGCAACUGCUUUUCAAAUGCAAUUCACUGUUCUUAGAGAGAAGCAAAUACAUUAGACUAGGUCCUUUUUUUCUCCUUAAAUCUAAUUAGGAUCCAAAUGUGCUUCAUUCGGAAAUGUGAUUGGCUGCUUAAGCUAGCCUCUACUCUUCUGCUAUCGUUCUAAAAAAUCUUGAUUUCCUGUUGUUACGGUCAUGUUUCUCCUGUGAACUUUAGACAGUGAAAUAAAUGCUUUGUCCUUCCUUA